RNAcentral lists this long non-coding RNA (959 nucleotides) under Apteryx rowi (Okarito brown kiwi). RNAcentral describes it as "lncRNA (ENSARWG00000017380.1)". Lineage: Eukaryota; Metazoa; Chordata; Aves; Apterygiformes; Apterygidae. The record is from RNAcentral.
GCAUGAGUGUAAGACACAUGGAGAAACUCUGGAUUUUGAGAAUGGAUUAAAUUGUGUAGUCAUAGACUUUAUAAAUGGCCUGUGCAAACUGCACAUACUGCAUCAUAAAUAUAAUAAACCUGUUUAUAAUGAUCCCAGCAAAAAAGUUAAGGUUGAAAGUUAGCCUUAUUGAAGUGAAAACUUGCAUGAUAUCAAUUGUAUACUCACACAUUCUAGUUAGUAUGUAAAUGGACUGUUUUCCCUAUUAAUUUCUUUGCUUUUUCUUUUCUUCCACAAGAUUUUCAAAUCAGAUAUUUAUUCUGAUGGAGCAAGUUACCAAACCUUGUUACAGUGAAUAUCUAGCAAAUCAUUCUUCAGGGACCCACAUGGAUGAGUGAGAGUAAGAGUCUCCAGGGGAUUAUCCAAAAAAAAAAAAAAAAAAAAGGCAGAAUGACGCUUACAUGUAAUAGUAAAAAUCCACACAGAGGUGGAAAAUCAAAGCUAAUUAGCAAAUAGUAUUAUUUGCCUCUCUGUGAGAAUUUAGCUUAGUCUCUGCUCUCUUUGGUAAUACUAAGCUUGAAUCUAGAAUACUAAGCAUGAAUUCUGCCUUAAGAAACAAGACACUUCGUGCUUCCAUGUGCUUAAGUAGAAGAUGGAGUUUUUUUCAAAUCUACAUUUGAAUACCAUCUUUCAAAAUGAAGAUAAUUCUUUCUUGUUAGAUGAAUUGGGUGCUGCAAGUCUUAUGACCAAUGAGGAUAUUAACUUUUCUGGCUAUCUGCAGCAAGAUCAUCAUGGCUACAGCAGCAGUAUAUGACAACGAGAAAGACUUUGAAUCAUAGAAAAUGCUAAUGAAGGUGUUUUGAUGGCAUCCUCAUGAAGCAUGAAUUUAAUCUCUCUAUUGCAAAAAAGAUGUUCAUUCAGUUUAUUCUGAAACACUUGGAACAAAAAAUAAACAUAGCUGUCUUCCAAAUACCUCUAAU